RNAcentral lists this ribosomal RNA (253 nucleotides) under uncultured bacterium. Its description in RNAcentral is "partial 16S ribosomal RNA". It matches the Rfam family "Bacterial small subunit ribosomal RNA", at positions 524 to 776 of the family's 1533-position model. The record is from RNAcentral.
UACGUAGGGUGCAAGCGUUGUCCGGAAUUAUUGGGCGUAAAGGGCUCGUAGGCGGUUUGUCGCGUCGGGAGUGAAAACCAGGUGCUUAACACCUGGCUUGCUUUCGAUACGGGCAGACUAGAGGUAUGCAGGGGAGAACGGAAUUCCUGGUGUAGCGGUGAAAUUCGUAGAUAUCAGGAGGAACACCGGUGGCGAAAGCGGCGACCUGGCCCGAUACUGACGCUCAUGGACGAAAGCGUGGGGAGCAAACAGG